UUUGUACCAUGUGUAAGUGUUAAUAGAUUAUGUAAUGUAAAUCAAACCACAUAGUAUUGUCUCCGCCAAGAGAGUAGGAAUACACAACUUCAAGAAGUUCCGGCCGCCUAGAAAAAGGAAAUCUGAUUCCCAAGCCGUCUCGAGGACUUAGAAAGGCCUUCACCUGUAAACAGAGACGCAAAAGGGCCCACACACCACUUGGUCUUCCAGCUGGAGCGGACGUUUCAUGUUGCAUCGCGGCACCAGAAAAAGUCCACUGGAGAAACCUUCACCUGUAGUUCAGGGAAAGACAUAGAACAGUACCUGAGACAAAAUGGCUGAAUACUGAUGGAGGGGCUGCGUUUUCCUUUAUGUGUGGACAGACCAGCCUGCACUAACAUGUGUCAACAACUACGCACUCAUUGUCCCGAGGACAGAGGGAAAAACCAACAGUCUCGAAAGAAUGAGGCCUGUGAACACAACACAUUGCCAGCCUAUGAUGCUUCACCUCCAACAGAAAAUUGGACUUGAACUGGAAAACAGGAACAUGAAGGUGUUUUUUCACCAGAAAGGAAAGUGUCUUUUGCUGCUGUAAGAUGUAAGAGCUUAUAUAACCACAGAACAGAAACAAUGAAGUUUCCUGCAUCACUAACUAACUUUCAGUUUAGCUACGACCUGUGUAAACAUGUUGUCUCCAGUAAGAAUGAAAAAUCAGUCUUUCUCAACAAUACAGUAGCCAAGUUAAAGGUGAUUCAGAGAAUCCAAAUAUUUGUGUAAAAUGUCUUUUUACAAUAAACAUAAGUAAAAACUC
Molecule: long non-coding RNA, 790 nt
Organism: Cynoglossus semilaevis (tongue sole)
Lineage: Eukaryota; Metazoa; Chordata; Actinopteri; Pleuronectiformes; Cynoglossidae
Exons: 5
Source: RefSeq, a predicted model, not a curated record